Molecule: ribosomal RNA, 1700 nt
Filed under: human gut metagenome
Description: bacterial LSU rRNA
Rfam family: Bacterial large subunit ribosomal RNA
Source: RNAcentral
CAUCUAAGUAGGGCGAGGAAGAGAAAUCAACCGAGAUUCCGCUAGUAGUGGCGAGCGAACGCGGAAGAGGCCAAACCAAGAGUAGUAAUACUUUUGGGGUUUUGGACAGCGUACGGUAUUAACUGCGGUUAGUAGAAUGAAAUGGGAAGUUCAACCACAGAGCGUGAUAGUCGCGUACACGAAAACUAAAGUUAGCCAGCUGGAUCCAGAGUACCGCCGGACACGUGAAACCCGGUGGGAAGACGGGGGGACCACCCUCCAAGCCUAAAUACUCUCCAAUGACCGAUAGUGUAUAGUACUGUGAAGGAAAGGUGAAAAGAACCCCUGGCGGGGAGUGAAAUAGAACCUGAAACCUUGUGCCUACAAGCACAUAGAGCGCGUCAAUGCGUGAUAUGGUACCUUUUGUAGAAUGGUCCGGCGAGUGAAUGUCACUGGCAAGGUUAAGCUCUUCAGGAGUGCAGCCGAAGCGAAAGCGAGUCUGAAAUGGGCGUUUUUAGUCAGUGGUAUUCGACCCGAAACCGGGUGACCUAGCCAUGAGCAGGCUGAAGUGGAGGUAAAACUCCAUGGAGGGCCGAACCCACUCCCGUUGAAAUGGUAGGGGAUGACUUGUGGCUAGCGGAGAAAUUCCAAUCGAACCCGGAGAUAGCUGGUUCUCUCCGAAAUAGCUUUAGGGCUAGCCUCAAUUAACAUUACCGCAGGUAAAGCACUGAAUGAGCUAGGGGGCGCAAGCUUACUGAACUCUAUCAAACUCAGAAUGGCGGAUAAUGAAUGAUUGGGAGUCACACUACGUGAGAUAAGUUUCGUGGUGGAAAGGGAAACAGCCCAGACCCACAGCUAAGGUCCCAAAGUACAGUUAAGUGGAAAAGGAUGUGAAAUUGCGCAGACAACCAGGAUGUUGGCUCAGAAGCAGCCACUCAUUCAAAGAGUGCGUAAUAGCUCACUGGUCGAGUGAUUUUGCGCCGAAAAUUUAACGGGGCUAAACUGUACACCGAAGCUUGGGAAUAUACAUUUGUAUGUUGGUAGGAGAGCGUUGUGUAAGGGGUGAAGUCGUAGCGAAAGCGGCGGUGGACUUUACACAAGUGAGAAUGCCGGAAUGAGUAGCGAGAAUUAUGUGAGAAUCAUAAUGGCCGAAAGCCUAAGGUUUUAGGAGGAAGGUUCGUCCGCUCCUAGUAAGCCGGGAGCUAAGGUGAGGCCGAAAGGCGUAGCCGAUGCACAUACGGUUGAAAUUCCGUAGCCUCCGAAAGAUUUAAGCAAAGGGACACUUUGAAAGUGUGUGAGCCGGGCGAUGGUUGACCCGGGCGUAAGGGACCGAAAAUAAGUAGGGAAGCACAUAUGGACGAAGGCGAGAAAAGCUUUGUGUAUAUCUAAGGAGCCCGUACCGCAAACCGACACAGGUAGGUAGGAAGAGAAUUCUAAGGCCAACGGGAGAAGGGUUGUUAAGGAACUCGGCAAGUUGACCCCGUAACUUAGGGAGAAGGGGUGCUCUCGAGAGAGAGUCGCAGAGAAUAGGCCCAGGCGACUGUUUAGCAAAAACACAGGUCUCUGCUAAAUCGAAAGAUGAAGUAUAGGGGCUGACACCUGCCCAGUGCUGGAAGGUUAAGAGGAGAUGUGCAAGCAUUGAAUUGAAGCCCCAGUGAACGGCGGCCGUAACUAUAACGGUCCUAAGGUAGCGAAAUUCCUUGUCAGGUAAGUUCUGACCC